UCUGUAUGGAAAUGAUUUUGUGUUUGAAUUACAGGUUUGUUACUUCCUUGGUUAUCUAAAGAAGUUGACUGCAACCUUAUGAGUGGCCUGUUCAUACAGAUUCACUGCAGCAUCACUUGGCUUCUUCAGCUGUUGUUCACCCUGGAAUUGAAGGUUUCUUGCAUGGCAGCAUCAGUGUUAAUGAGUGUUGACCAUUGUAGAUUCCCUCAUCUAUUGGAGACAAUGACCUAAUUUUAUACAAGAUGAAUCUACUCCUGGAACCAGCAGUCUGGAUUUGCAUAUGCUGAAUGAAUCUACUUUUACCAGGCUUAUUUGCAUGAACCAAUUUGGAUGCAGCAUAGUCAUAGAAAGACUCUUGUCUGUGUUUCGCUGGAGGUUUCUAACUGGUAAAGCAUAGUAGUUAUUUAAUAGGGAAUGAAGGUAUGUUUUUCAGUGUGUGUGACUCCCUGGAAUUUAUUCUGAAUUGAUCUCAAUGUAUUACUGCAGUAGUGAUCAGCAAAUACAUGUUUUUCUGAUUUUUCUUCUCCCUCUUAUUUCUUGAUGCCUCUGCUAUCACAGUCCAAAUAAUCUAAUAGAAGGCAUUACUUUUGGAGCAGCCCUUGCACCUAAAAUGAAACGGAUAGGUUGUAAACUGCAUACAACUCCUAUGAAUUGCAGCAUUGAUUUGCAGAUUUAACAGUCCUUUUAUUGCGUUUGUAUGACUGGAAGCCCUUGUUUGCUGAUUUACUGCACAAAUAUAACCACUUUUAAUUUUGCCUUGGAUUUUCUCUUUUAAUGAGAUAUCUGUAUGCAUCAUAUCUGUAUGCAUCAUAGAAAUCAGUGGCUUGUACUUCUGAGGAACACAGUAAACUGAUCUGUUUUGAGCUCUUUUGCCAUUGCUGGACUCCUGGAGUAUUGUAGGUUGUUUGUAGCUAGCUGCUCUGUCUGUAUGCUGCACUGCAGGCUGUAAUGUAGGCACAUCCAAGAUUGUUUUGCUAGUACGAUUUUUCAGUAUAUUCAUACUAAAUCUAGCAGAUAAAGCACUGUUGCUAUGUCUGUCUGUCACUGGAUACACCUCUUAUUAAGUCAAUUUACAUAGUGUCCAGUUAAAGCAAUGUCCGGUAUUUAAUAACAAAAUAUAUGGGUUUUAACUGCAGUCGUUCUAAAUAUCAGACCUUGUGUGCAGUGAGAAUUGAGUAGUCAUCAAGAAAAUAACUCAGAAAAGGAUUUUCAGAGUGACAGCUUGUUCUCUUGAAGCAGGCAGUUCCCCAAGCAGAGCCUUCCCACUAAGGAUGCCUUGAGCUAUUCUCAACCUAUUGUUAACCACAGCUGAUGAAAGACCAAGACUCAGUUGGCUGAGGGAGACGUGCAAGCAAGUUAGUUCAUUUUCAUGGCCCCAAUUCAGCAAAGCAGUUAAGCAUUUGCUUCUGCCCCAUUAGAGUCCAAUGGUUCUUUAAACUUAUCGCUUAAAAAGGAGUUUUGAUGUUUGCAUCAGGUGGAAAGAAAAUGGUUAGGAUGAAAUAAAGAACUAAAGAGUCUUGGGAGGUAGCA
RNAcentral lists this long non-coding RNA (1530 nucleotides) under Coturnix japonica (Japanese quail). RNAcentral describes it as "lncRNA (ENSCJPG00005014716.1)". Lineage: Eukaryota; Metazoa; Chordata; Aves; Galliformes; Phasianidae. The record is from RNAcentral.